This 465-nucleotide ribosomal RNA is filed under the name uncultured bacterium. RNAcentral's name for it is "partial 16S ribosomal RNA". It matches the Rfam family "Bacterial small subunit ribosomal RNA", at positions 338 to 795 of the family's 1533-position model. The record is from RNAcentral.
CCUACGGGAGGCAGCAGUGGGGAAUAUUGCGCAAUGGGCGAAAGCCUGACGCAGCGACGCCGCGUGAGGGAUGAAGGUCUUCGGAUCGUAAACCUCUGUCAGCAGGGAAGAACGGUCACUGUGCUAAUCAGCAGUGAAUUGACGGUACCUGCAAAGGAAGCACCGGCUAACUCCGUGCCAGCAGCCGCGGUAAUACGGAGGGGGCGAGCGUUAAUCGGAAUUACUGGGCGUAAAGCGCUCGUAGGCGGUAUGUCAAGUCAAGGGUGAAAGCCCCGGGCUCAACGGGGGAACUGCCUUUGAGACUGGCAGACUGGAGUGUGUGAGAGGAUGGUGGAAUUCGAGGUGUAGGAGUGAAAUGCGUAGAUAUCUGGAGGAACAUCGAUUGCGAAGGCGACUAUCUGGCACAUAACUGACGCUGAGGAGCGAAAGCGUGGGUAGCAAACAGGAUUAGAUACCCUGGUAGUC